Long non-coding RNA from Syngnathus typhle (broad-nosed pipefish), 577 nucleotides. RefSeq lists it as uncharacterized. The transcript has 3 exons. The record is from RefSeq and is a predicted model, not a curated record. Lineage: Eukaryota; Metazoa; Chordata; Actinopteri; Syngnathiformes; Syngnathidae.
GUGGACACUUAAAAAACGCACAAGACUCAUUUCAUUCACUGUGUUGCAAGACAGUCUGCAUAUUUAAUCUGAGGACAAAAACUUGCAACGGGUUCAACCAAACAGGGCAAAACGAGUGUGAUUGUGUAGCCACAUACGAGUCUUAUCGAUGCUGAGCCUUCUGACUCAUCGGCCAAAUAGAGGUUCAGGUAAGGAGGUGGCGAGUGAGCUGGACUUCCUACCCGCCAUUUGGCCUUUGCAAAGUUCUUCUCAAACUGGGCACAGACGCCAUCCUUUAGGUUCUUCUCUGACGCGCCAUUACCUGCAAUCCUGACAAAAGCGUCACUUCAAACAUUGACUGCGUACAAUUUAAGGAUCAUGAUCUCAUUCUUGGCGGCCUUGCGGACUUUCCUGCCAUCUUUCUUGAGGAAUUUCUUGCAGACAAACACUUUGUUUGUUUGUCUUUCCUUAGCCAGGCACAGCUCACAGAACUCUUUCCUAUACGUCACAAGAACAAGACAGAAAGAGAAAUAAGACAUAUAUAAGAAAAUAAAUAAAUAAGAAAUAAAUACGUUUAUUAAACCCCAGUCUUAUAAUC